This 2123-nucleotide long non-coding RNA is filed under the name Pogona vitticeps (central bearded dragon). RNAcentral describes it as "lncRNA (ENSPVIG00000014507.1)". The record is from RNAcentral. Lineage: Eukaryota; Metazoa; Chordata; Lepidosauria; Squamata; Agamidae.
AUGGGAGAGUUAGAUGUGCCUCCACAUCUACUUAUAUAUAUAUUUUGUUGGGGGUUUAUGCAUUCUCCCAACCCCCUCAAAACAAAACAGCUGUGUCCAGAGGCCAGCAGGAGUAAUAGCUUUCCUCCUUUUCUAGUCUAUUUUUUUUAAUGUUGCACCGGAGAGUAUUGUAAGCCACAUGUGGCUUGUAGACCACAGUCCCUGCUCUAAAGCAAGAGCGAAAUGAGCGAAACAAGUACAGUCAAGUGCUAAAUGCAGUACCUACGGUACUUUGAUCCUGCUAUCAAGUGACUUACUUGCCUACUUAGUCUGGAGCCUGAAUGCUGCUGAUGGGCAAUGUUCAGACCCCUACAGAUUAUUUUUUUUGUCUGUGGUUCUUUACCUUCAAAGCCAGCUUGGGAGGGGACAGUUCUUCAGACAGAGGACUAUGUUCUGUAAAAUAGGACACUAUUUGCCCACUCUACUUAUACCCCUUUGUGAAGAAAAAUACCUUUUCUGCUUGCAUAGUGCAUUCAAAAUCAAAUCCAUGUGAAAGAGGAAUAAAUCAAAAUACAAUCUAUUAUGCCUUUUGUAUGGCAUGUAGUCAAAAUAUCAAUGUCUGGCACAAUGGGAUCUCACACAACUGCCCUUUUCUUGCUCCUGGCUAGCAUUCUGUUGUCCUCUCAGUUAUUUUCCAUUCAAACACUUUUGUUUUUUGAAAGUGAUGAGAAUUAAGGCCACUGAUGCAGAAAGAAAUGUCCACUGAGACACACCCUCUGCCUGAGAAAAGCAAAGAAUUCUGGAUUUAAACGCACAUGUGCCUACAGUUGCCCAUCUUCAGGCUCAAAAUGCUAAGUUAUAUGGGAGCUCCACCCAUUGAAAAUAUUUGCCAGGUAAUUCCCUUGGGAAGGGCCUUGUUAGCACCAGUAUAAAAACAACUGCAGAAUGUUUAGAAAACAGCUAUUGACUUCCUCUACAUAAGGACUGAAGCUAUUGGGGGCAACCAUGUCUACUAAGGAUGUUAAAACCUUUGCUCAACAAGCACAGGGCACUGUGCAAGAUGCGGCAAACAGCUUGGGAAAGGCUGCACAGCAAGGUGUGAACCAAGUGACAGACGCGGGUCAGAAAGUGGUGGAUCAGACGUGCAAAGUAGUGAAAGAGGGCAUUGAUAAAGCAACUGAACAAGCAGGGAACACAGUAUCCGGUCUUGAGAAGAAACUUGGACUGAAGAAAUGAUGGCUAUUUAAAACACCAGAACCAUUCUUCAAUCUAUGUGUUCCUUUUUUUGUACCUAUCAUAUGUAUCUUUGUAGAAAAUGUGGGAGAUGUUCUCCUUCCAUUUCUGUUUUGAUCACAUGCAUUCCAAAGAGAAAAGCAAAAUGAUUGUACAGCAGCCUUCAGAAGGAGCUCUCCUCUCAUGAUCUGGAUGACCAAAUUGUGUAUUAACAGCUGCAUUAUUUGGGGAGGGGGGCUUGACCAGUUGCAGCUGGGGGUGGGCAGUAGCUUUCUGCAUACUCCAGUCUUUUAUAUAAUGCUAAUGGUAAUAACAAAUGUCUAAACCCACCCCAAACAAUAUUUUUAUCUUCUUUCCCAUUCUCUCCUCAUCUUGCACAUACAAAUGACACACUGAAGUACUGUAAAAGGAUUAAACAAGGAGGGGACAGUAACGAUAUCCAAAAUUCACUAUUAGGUCCCUCACUAAAGUGCAAAUUAUGCCAUGACUUAAGUACUUGGUGAUCAUUACAGUGGUUCUAUGCAAGACCAGCCUGUGCUAUGCCAUGUCUGCUCAUGAUUAAAGCUCAAAACUUUAGACGUUUUGUUGUUUGAACAGUUUUAUUUUGCUGAUUAUCCAAAGACUAGUGUUGAAUCUGCAGCACUGUUAUGUCACAUACAUAUGCUAUGGGAGUGUUUCCAGUCUGGAUCAUUACAAAGCUGCAGAGGUUGUUAAGAAAGGUGCAAGACACUGGAUUGUUCAUCCUCUGUCUGCCAAACAGGCUCAGCCAACAGAAGAACCACCACAACAGCCAUAAUGCACAAAUGUUAAUGCCAGAAUACUAUCGAGGCUAUCUUAGCUUAUACAUCUUUCCUUGCUGUUGAUUUGAGUUUGGCAAAAUAAAAGAUAUAAAUAAAAAUCUGGAUUAUACA